RNAcentral lists this ribosomal RNA (741 nucleotides) under uncultured archaeon. Its description in RNAcentral is "bacterial SSU rRNA". It matches the Rfam family "Archaeal small subunit ribosomal RNA", at positions 1 to 750 of the family's 1478-position model. The record is from RNAcentral.
UUCCGGUUGAUCCCGCCGGACCUGACUGCUAUCGGAUUGGUACUAAGCCAUGCGAGUCGUUGUAGCAAUACAAGGCGGACGGCUCAGUAACACGUAGUCAACCUAACCUAUGGACGUGGAUAACCUCGGGAAACUGAGAAUAAACCGCGAUAGAUCAUUAUGCCUGGAAUGGCUUAUGGUUCAAACAAUUUAUUGCCGUAGGAUGGGACUGCGGCCUAUCAGCUCGUUGGUGAGGUAAUGGCCCACCAAGGCUAUAACUGGUACGGGCUCUGAGAGGAGAAGCCCGGAGAUGGGUACUGAGACACGGACCCAGGCCCUAUGGGGCGCAGCAGGCGAGAAACCUUAGCAAUGUGCGAAAGCACGACUAGGUUAAUCCGAGUGAUUUCUGUUGAAGAAAUCUUUUGUCAGUCGUAAAACCACAGACGAAUAAGGGGUGGGCAAGUCUGGUGUCAGCCGCCGCGGUAAUACCAGCACCUCGAGUGGUCAGGAGGUUUAUUGGGCCUAAAGCAUCCGUAGCCGGCUUUGCAAGUCUCCGGUUAAAUCCAGCUGCUCAACAGAUGGGCUGCCGGAGAUACUACACAGCUAGGGAGCGGGUGAGGCAGACGGUAUUCGGUGGGUAGGGGUAAAAUCCACUGAUCCAUCGAGGACCACCAGUGGCGAAGGCGGUCUGCCAGAACGCGUUCGACGGUGAGGGAUGAAAGCUGGGGGAGCAAACCGGAUUAGAUACCCGGGUAGUCCCAG